This 958-nucleotide long non-coding RNA is filed under the name Phoenix dactylifera (date palm). RNAcentral describes it as "long non-coding RNA (PDAC_LNC009492)". Lineage: Eukaryota; Viridiplantae; Streptophyta; Magnoliopsida; Arecales; Arecaceae. The record is from RNAcentral.
AUUAUCAUAAAUCAGAGUUUAAAUAUGCAUUUGGUCGACUUCAAGCCUGAUUACACUAGAACAGAAUUGAACCUGGUCAAGCACUUGCACCCGAGGGACACAUGACAGCCAUUUGGAGGCAAUGCGCAAUGAAACAUCCAAGGGCUUAGAUUCAUCAAGCCAAGAGGAUCUGCAAUCGGAUCUCCCAGCUUCCUCCACAGCAUCCCCGAUUCCAUCUGCACCUGUGAUCAUUCCCGCUCUUCUCCCACGCCCAUCCCGCUGAUCCCGCCUGCAGCCAUCCAGCAAACCGAGAUCAGCGGCCGCUUCUUCCUCGCCUCCAGCCAUUCAUGAGCAUCUCAGCCCCCAGCAAAGGCAAUCGCAAUUCCCACGCGUUCGCCCGCCUCCUCCACUGAUCCCGUCCUCCACAGCGUUCGCGAAGCAAUUCUUCCGUGAUCAAAGCUCCUUCUUCUUCAAUCGAUUCCAGCUGAUCACCUCCCGGCCGUCCGCCUCCUCCAUCGCGUCCGAUCUCAGCAUCAAAUCCGGCCGUGAUCAGCUUCCGCAGGUCCCGCGUCCACUUUCCUCCUCCGUUCCAACAAUCCCAGCAUCUCUACACCAUCCGUAUCCGUCCGCUCCGUGAACAGAGCUCCUCAGCAGUUCGUGAUUCUUCCAUCUCCACAUGCAUUCAGCCCAGCAUCCAUUCUCAGCGCCCCAGCCGGCCGCAAUCAUCUCCCAGCCCCAUUCCUCCGCCCUAAUCUUCUCACGCGGAAGAUUAUGUCCGCUUGAUAGGUCGGGAAAGCUAUAAAAAGGAGAUGGGGGAUCGGUUCAAGGGAGCUCCGAUUUGGGGAAGAAGAGUGGAGCCGGGUUGCUGCAGUAGGAAAAAAAAAGAAGUAGAAAGAAACAGGGGAUGCCCUGUUUCUGUUAUUAAAAAAAAGAGUGAGAAAGAGAGAGGGAGAUGAUCGGCUAAAGUCCUAGGUGAUGG